UACGGAGGAUGCGAGCGUUAUCCGGAUUUAUUGGGUUUAAAGGGUGCGUAGGCGGACGCUUAAGUCAGCGGUAAAAUUGCGGGGCUCAACCUCGUCGAGCCGUUGAAACUGGGUGCCUUGAGUGGGCGAGAAGUAUGCGGAAUGCGUGGUGUAGCGGUGAAAUGCUUAGAUAUAACUUAGAACUCCGAUAGCGAAGGCAGCUUACCAGACUGCGACUGACGCUCAGGCACGAAAGUGUGAGUAUCGAACAGG
Molecule: ribosomal RNA, 252 nt
Filed under: uncultured Bacteroidales bacterium
Lineage: Bacteria; Pseudomonadati; Bacteroidota; Bacteroidia; Bacteroidales
Description: partial 16S ribosomal RNA
Rfam family: Bacterial small subunit ribosomal RNA
Source: RNAcentral